AUACGGAGGAUGCGAGCGUUAUCCGGAUUUAUUGGGUUUAAAGGGUGCGUAGGCUGUGCGUUAAGUCAGGGGUGAAAUGCCGUCGCUCAACGACGGAGCUGCCCUUGAUACUGGCGUGCUGGAGUACGGAUGCCGUUGGAGGAAUGAGUGGUGUAGCGGUGAAAUGCUUAGAUAUCACUCAGAACACCGAUUGCGAAGGCAUCUGACGAAUCCGUCACUGACGCUGAGGCACGAAAGCGUGGGGAUAGAACAGGAUUAGAUACCCUGGUAUUCCAUGCCGUAAACGAUGAUGACUAACCGUCGGCGAUAGACAGCCGGUGGCCAAGCGAAAGCGAUAAGUCAUCCACCUGGGGAGUACGUCGGCAACGAUGAAACUUAAAGGAAUUGACGGGG
RNAcentral lists this ribosomal RNA (393 nucleotides) under uncultured bacterium. Its description in RNAcentral is "partial 16S ribosomal RNA". It matches the Rfam family "Bacterial small subunit ribosomal RNA", at positions 523 to 918 of the family's 1533-position model. The record is from RNAcentral.